AAUUUACUUCUAUAGUGUUAAGUCAUUAAACAGUCACUCCCCAGAUAUGCUUCUGCUCUUUUUCUUUCAUCAGAUUGAUCCUCUGCAUGAUUAGGCAGUAUCAGAGUUACAGAUACUUGUCUCAGAUUGACAGUUCUAAAUGAGUUCUCCUGUAGAAGUGGAAAGGUAAAGCCCAGCCAAGUUUAAAACAGAAUUUGAUCUACCUUUGAAAGAAGCCAUAUGAUAUCCUAGUCUUUGCAAGGACAGCAAAGGUAUUUCCGUGCUGCAGUCCAGGCAGUAUCUGACAGUGUAGCGAUGGCAGCAGUGGUUGAACUCAUUGACCUGGAUUAAUUCUUGUCUGUCUACCUGCAGUCAUAGAGGUAUGGGGCUCAUUGCUGACUCCAAACAUGCUCAGGAAGCUUUAGUAAAUAAACAGAAAAUUCUUGGGUGUGUUUGUAGUCAGUACUGAUCUCCCUGACUGUACUAGUUUCUGAUCUAGCCUGUCUAAAGCUAGACUGUGAGGAGGUUUGUGAGGUGCAGUUGUGCAUUUGACUUUAGGAUACAGACGUUCCCAGUGAGGCUGUGAAAGCAGCAACCAGAUUAACUGCUCUUUGCUUUAAUUACAGGAUACAUUGAUAUGCAGUAAACAUUUGAAUCAGGACCAAUACAUUUACAAAUGGCCAGCCAUAAAUUGAAGGCUGUCACUCUGACUUUGAGCCCCUCAACAUGGAAGCUGUUCCAACGGCAGGGGCUCCAGUUCUUCUUCCAUGUGGCUUUUUCAAUUGCCUUCUCCUACCACCGCUAGCAGUUAGUAGAGCUGCCCCACAAAGACCUCUGUGCAGCUGCCAGGACAGGUAAUGUUUGGUGCCUUCAGCUCCCAAGGACAACUCCUCAGAAAUGCAGUGGAGUGCACACGACAGCUGCUGCUUCUGAUAAGUAAUUAGAACGGGCAGAGUCAGUGUUGGUGAUUCAGUGCUGAGCUCUAGUCCCCUAUACCACAAGGUCUUUUUUGCCUCUUUGUGAUGUAUGGCUGGUCUCACUAAAUUAGCUCAUUUCUGAAAAUUAUUUCAUCAGAUGUAAUACCAGAAAGGGAUGUUGCUUGGUUAACCUCAUUCAAUUGUAUUGGUUACUAGAAUUUUGGUGAGCUGUAGGAAGGUCCUGCACUGGCAAAAUCCAAGUAAAUAAAUAUUCCUCCAGAUUUUCUGCA
This 1186-nucleotide long non-coding RNA is filed under the name Anser brachyrhynchus (Pink-footed goose). RNAcentral's name for it is "lncRNA (ENSABRG00000019957.1)". Lineage: Eukaryota; Metazoa; Chordata; Aves; Anseriformes; Anatidae. The record is from RNAcentral.